RNAcentral lists this non-coding RNA (30 nucleotides) under Mus musculus (house mouse). Lineage: Eukaryota; Metazoa; Chordata; Mammalia; Rodentia; Muridae. The record is from RNAcentral.
UAGUAUGUGGCCUGUGAUGAUUUCAAGGGU